CGGAGGGUGCAAGCGUUGUUCGGAAUCAUUGGGCGUAAAGCGCGCGCAGGCGGUUUGCCAAGUCUGAUGUGAAAGCCCGGGGCUCAACCUCGGAACUGCAUUGGAAACUGGUAAACUUGAGUAUGGGAGGGGUCAGUGGAAUUCCUGGUGUAGGGUGGAAAUCCGUAGAGAUCAGGAGGAACACCAGUGGCGAAGGCGACUGACUGGAACAUAACUGACGCUGAGGCGCGAAAGCGUGGGUAGCAAACAGGAUU
Molecule: ribosomal RNA, 254 nt
Filed under: uncultured bacterium
Lineage: Bacteria
Description: partial 16S ribosomal RNA
Rfam family: Bacterial small subunit ribosomal RNA
Source: RNAcentral